RNAcentral lists this transfer RNA (65 nucleotides) under Parapolybia varia. Its description in RNAcentral is "tRNA-Ala". The record is from RNAcentral. Lineage: Eukaryota; Metazoa; Arthropoda; Insecta; Hymenoptera; Vespidae.
AGGAUAUUAGUUAAAUUAUAACACUUAUAUUGCAUAUAAUAAUUAUUUCAAAUAAAUAUAUCUUU